ACUCUCAGCAACGGAUAUCUCGGCUCUCGCAACGAUGAAGAACGCAGCGAAAUGCGAUACGUGGUGUGAAUUGCAGAAUUCCGUGAAUCAUCGAAUGUUUGAACGCAACUUGUGUCCGAGGCUUGUCCCGAGGACGUGCCUGCCUGAGCGUCU
This 153-nucleotide ribosomal RNA is filed under the name Selaginella douglasii. RNAcentral's name for it is "5.8S ribosomal RNA". It matches the Rfam family "5.8S ribosomal RNA". From Rfam's summary of the family: 5.8S ribosomal RNA (5.8S rRNA) is a component of the large subunit of the eukaryotic ribosome. It is transcribed by RNA polymerase I as part of the 45S precursor that also contains 18S and 28S rRNA. Lineage: Eukaryota; Viridiplantae; Streptophyta; Lycopodiopsida; Selaginellales; Selaginellaceae. The record is from RNAcentral.